UCCGUAGGUGAACCUGCGGAAGGAUCAUUAUCGAAGAACAGAGUGCGCUUCGUUGCGGCUCGACUUCAUUAUCCACACACUGUGAACUGUAACACCUUUUUAUCAGACCCUUUUAGUCGAAGAAUGUAGCCUCUUGUAAAGUAAAUAUAACUUUCAACAACGGAUCUCUUGGCUCUUGCAACGAUGAAGAACGCAGCGAAAUGCGAUAAGUAAUGUGAAUUGCAGAAUUCAGUGAAUCAUCGAAUCUUUGAACGCACCUUGCGCCUUUUGGCAUUCCGAAAGGCACACCUGUUUGAGUGUCGUGUAACCCUCAACCUCACCCUUUGAAGGGCUGCAGGCUUGGAUGUUGAGUGUUGCUGCGGUAUGCAGCUCACUUUAAAUGCAUGAGCAUUCCCUUUACUGCUCGGAUCGACUCGGCGUAAUAACAUGUCCGUUGAGGAUGCCUAUCCGGCGGCCGGAAAGUAAGGGUGGCUACUAAUGGCUCUAGCGCGUUUGUACUUUAGACCUCAGAUCAGGUGGGACUACCCGCUGAACUUAAGCAUAUC
This 545-nucleotide ribosomal RNA is filed under the name uncultured Pucciniomycetes. Its description in RNAcentral is "eukaryotic LSU rRNA". The stretch from base 149 to 302 matches the Rfam family "5.8S ribosomal RNA". Lineage: Eukaryota; Fungi; Basidiomycota; Pucciniomycetes. The record is from RNAcentral.